This 459-nucleotide ribosomal RNA is filed under the name uncultured bacterium. Its description in RNAcentral is "partial 16S ribosomal RNA". It matches the Rfam family "Bacterial small subunit ribosomal RNA", at positions 338 to 795 of the family's 1533-position model. The record is from RNAcentral.
CCUACGGGUGGCAGCAGUGAGGAAUAUUGGUCAAUGGCCGGAAGGCUGAACCAGCCAAGCCGCGUGAAGGACGAAGGUGCCAAGCAUUGUAAACUUCUUUUGUCAAGGGACAAAAUCAGGCUCGAGAGCCUGACCGUGUGUACUUGAAGAAAAAGCAUCGGCUAACUCCGUGCCAGCAGCCGCGGUAAUACGGAGGAUGCGAGCGUGAUCCGGAUUUAUUGGGUUAAAGGGGGGCGUAGGCGGGCUGUUACUUCAGCGGUAAAAGCCCGGGGUCAAACCACGGCGAGCCGUUGAAACUGGCUGUCUUGAGAUGUCGAGAGGUAUGCGGAAUGCGCAGUGUAGCGGUGAAAUGCUUAGAUAUUGCGCAGAACUCCGAUUGCGAAGGCAGCAUACCGGCGGCGAUCUGACGCUGAGGCACGAAAGCGUGGGUAUCGAACAGGAUUAGAUACCCGGGUAGUC